CUCCCCCCUGCCGGAGCCCCGUGGAGCUUUUAGGUGUUUUCGCUCAAUAAACACACACAACGCCCGGUCUGGGAAUCGAAACCGCGAUCCUCCAGCAAUUCUGCUGCCCUAACCACUGUGUCAUUGUGCCUCCACGAUGCAAUUAAAUGCUUAAUAUAUUAAUAAUAAUAAU
Long non-coding RNA from Octopus sinensis (East Asian common octopus), 172 nucleotides. RefSeq lists it as uncharacterized. The transcript has 3 exons. Lineage: Eukaryota; Metazoa; Mollusca; Cephalopoda; Octopoda; Octopodidae. The record is from RefSeq and is a predicted model, not a curated record.